GAUGAACGCUAGCUACAGGCUUAACACAUGCAAGUCGAGGGGAAACGACAUCGAAAGCUUGCUUUUGAUGGGCGUCGACCGGCGCACGGGUGAGUAACGCGUAUCCAACCUGCCCAUCACUUGGGAAUAACCUUGCGAAAGUAAGACUAAUACCCAAUGACAUCCCACGAAGACAUCUGAAUGGGAUUAAAGAUUUAUCGGUGAUGGAUGGGGAUGCGUCUGAUUAGCUUGUUGGCGGGGUAACGGCCCACCAAGGCAACGAUCAGUAGGGGUUCUGAGAGGAAGGUCCCCCACAUUGGAACUGAGACACGGUCCAAACUCCUACGGGAGGCAGCAGUGAGGAAUAUUGGUCAAUGGGCGAGAGCCUGAACCAGCCAAGUAGCGUGCAGGAGGACGGCCCUAUGGGUUGUAAACUGCUUUUAUAAGGGAAUAAAGUGGGUCUCGUGAGACUUUUUGCAUGUACCUUAUGAAUAAGGACCGGCUAAUUCCGUG
Molecule: ribosomal RNA, 492 nt
Filed under: uncultured bacterium
Lineage: Bacteria
Description: partial 16S ribosomal RNA
Rfam family: Bacterial small subunit ribosomal RNA
Source: RNAcentral